GAGGUAGGUUUCACCAUGUUGGCCAGGCUGGUCUCGAACUCCCGACUUCAAUUGAUUUGCCCACCUCAGCCUCCCAAAGUGCUGGAAUUACAGGCAUAAGCCAUCAUGGUUGGCCUCCCCUAAUUAGCUUCUUUAAUCCUCUACAUCAUCACAAGAUGGGUGUUACUGUGAUCACUAUUUUACAGCUACCCAAGGUGUGAAAACGAAAGAAGGCCAAAGGGAAGAAGGUGGUACCGACCCUUGCUGUCUUGAAAACGCAGGAGACCAUGAAAGUGGUGAAUCUUCCGUUUGAGAAAUUUGGCACUGGACAGUACAUUUUGGCAUUGGACAGAACAUCCAGCCCAAAAGGGACCUCACUUGCUUUGUCAAAUGGCCUCAUUAUACUAGGUUGCAGCAGCAGAGAGCCAUCCUCUAUAAGCAGCUAGAAGUGCCUUCUGUGAUUAAUCAGUUCACCAGGGCCUUGGACCACCAAACAGCUACUCAACGGGGUAAGCUGGCUGGCAAGUACAGACUAGAGACAAAGCAAGAGAAGCAGCAGAGUCUGUUGGCCUGGGCUGAGAAGAAAGCAAAGGAGACAACCCCACUAAGAGAUCACCUGUUCUUUUAACGGGGGUUAACGCUGUCACCACCUUAGUGGAGAAAAAGAAGGCUCAGCUGGUAGUGACUGCAUAGGACAUAGAUCCCAUUGAGUUGGUUGUCUUCCUGCCUGCCCUGUGUUGUAAACUGGGGGUUCCUUACUGCAUUAUCUAAUGGAAGGCAAGCUUGAGACAUCUAGGGUUAAAAAACAAGCAAACAAACAAACAACUCUUUAAAAUAUUCUUUUAAAACUUCUAAUCAUUAGUUUUAUCUCUUCAGUACAUUAAAAUGUCUGGUGGUAGGAAAAUACUGGACUCAUAUAUGACUGUCUAUGUGUUUUGCAGGGCCCAGUGCAAAAUGAAAUGGAAGUUGUACCUCGUUCAAAGUGUUAAGCAUUUCAAGAUGGCAACAGCAGAGCAUUAGGCCGAGUAUGAGGUCAUUAUGUACACGGGUCCUUGUGUGACCACACAGGUCACAGGAACAUGAAGCUAGACCUGCGUGUAUAUUCAGAUAGGUAAAUCUUACAGAUUUUUAAAACUCAAUAAAAGAAAAACUACAUUUCAUGUGUGAACACAAAAAUUGGAAUUAAAUUGGCAAUAGUACUGGGAUUUGUGCUCAGAGUCACAGUUUACAUCUGACCACCAUUUCUAUAUGAAUUUUUAAGAUAAAACCAUAAGAAUUUUAAAGAAGGUUUCUGAAAUUUAGAAAUUAUAAUAAUGUAAUUAACUUUGAUAUUUUAAUUCCAUGUAAUUUAAAACAUUCAAUAGAUAUAUAAUGUUCCACUAUUCAUUUAACUAGAAGUAUAAAAAUAAAACAUAUUUAAUAAAAAUAUUCUACUUAUUUUUAAAUUACCUAUAUUAUAUUGAAUAAAAGAAAAUUUGGGAAUAUAAAUAAAUGAGCAUUUUUGAACAUGUAAAAUAUUGUCUUGCUGUUUUUAGGAGACUUUUAGCAGGACAAGAGCUUACGUCUGAUCUACCUCUGCUUGGACAAACCAGUGAUGUGAUUUGCAAAUAGGUUGUAACUUCACCCAACACACAUCACAGCAAAGAAAUGUAGUGACUUUCAGAGAAUUUGACCUAACUAAGAAUUUGUAAAAGAGAAAAGCAUUGUCCUUAUGGUUAAACUACAUGACCGUUUUUUUUUAAGUUACAUGUAUAUUUACCUGACCAACUUGUUUUACUCUGUAUUUCAGGUUAUCAGGUGAAAUUAUUUUGGAAUAAAUUAAUGAGCUGUUUUUUCUGAAUAAAUGUGCAUGUUACAAAUGCAAACACGUGUAUGUAUUAUACAACUAUGCAGCUUCAAGAACUGACUUAUUUCUAUCAGCUUUUUAUUCACUUUAAAAAAUCAGGCUACUGAAGCAUAUUAGAAUUUAAUUACACCAAUUAUUACUGCCACAUCAGACAUAUGAUGUGCCUUCAAUUAAGAAGUACCUAAUGGAUAUUAGUACAAUUUAGCUUCAUAAUUAAAGUUCUAAGAACAGCACAAAUUAAACAUUAUGAUUACAAAACAUUAAAAAUCUACUGGUGAAAUUAAAGCUGAAUAUUUUAGCUUCUCCUUUUGAGCUGAUUUUAAAAAAGAAAAUCAAGAUUAUAUAAAAUGCAAUGUUAUUAUUGAAGCAUUCUGAAUUUAAAAACAGAAAUUAAGCUCAUGUGCCCAUAAAUAUGUGCAUAUAUAAUUAUUAUUUAAUAAAAUAUCCAACUUAACACUUAUGUCACCUAAUAAGCAUUAAAGGUUAUCAUUUUGGAGUUUCACUUG
This is a long non-coding RNA of Nomascus leucogenys (northern white-cheeked gibbon), 2331 nucleotides long. RefSeq lists it as uncharacterized. The transcript is spliced from 2 exons. The record is from RefSeq and is a predicted model, not a curated record. NCBI's taxonomy places the organism in Eukaryota, Metazoa, Chordata, Mammalia, Primates, Hylobatidae.